CAAGAUCCUGACUUUGAUUUUACUCUAGCGAUAUCCUAUGAGAAAUCUUCAUUUUCUUCUUUCAAUUUCAGUCUUGCCUAUUGAAGAAACACUGCUCACUGCCUUUGUGAAGCACGUGGCUCUUUUGAGAUGUAGAUGAGUGACAAAUGGUAGCUUCUUAGCUGAUCUUUGUAUCUUUGGGACUUCUGUUUUGCUUGGGCCAAUUCAAAGACUUCCAUCAUACUGUAAUACUGUUUUGUAGAGACAUAAAAAUCACUGAAGUAUGAAUCAAGGUGUCAAAAUGCCUGCUGGGAGCCAUUCUGUGAGUAGAGUACAUGUCCAUAGAAGGGAUUAGCCUGACUAAGCACAAAAGAAUGGGCAGCACUACAAGUAGAUAGGAAUAGGCAGGGGGAAAUGGAAAAUGCAGAAUGGACACAGGCUUACAUUCACAUAUUCUUCUCACUUGUAAAUAUCAUAUGUGUACAAACACUAAUGAAAUUUUCAAUAAAAAUAAUUUGAAAAGAUUUCAACUUGUUAAUGAGAAAAAGCUGGCACUCAAGCAUGUAAACAAAUGAGUUUCCAACUGAACAUUUUGUGUUCAUAAUUUGAUGUCUUUGAAAAGAUUACCUGUAUUUCCUCCAAUUAAAUAAAUGUACCAGGAGUAUGGACUUAACAAUCCAAAUGCAAAUGUAGUUCAUAGAUUAUGAUUAUGAAGAUCUUUUAAAACAAUAUUACUUUCUUCAUUUAUUCUUUUGAAAUGAGAUCUGCUCUCACAAUAUAUGAAAUUAUUUUGUUUUUCCUAUUGCCUGCAGCAUCAAUGGAUCUUUUCCAUAUCAAGCUGCAACUUUAAACUUUGAAGUGAACUUACCUAACUGAUGCCUUGGGAAAUUACUUAUAAUAAUGAGGAAUACGUAUGUAUUGUCUCCACAUGGUCACUCCACAGCCAGAGACUGGAGGAAGAGAGUUUGAUUUUGUAUUUACUACUGGGUAAUUGUCAUAUAAACUUAAAGGAAAAUGGAGGAAAAAGGAAC
This 1010-nucleotide long non-coding RNA is filed under the name Numida meleagris (helmeted guineafowl). RNAcentral's name for it is "lncRNA (ENSNMEG00000005542.1)". Lineage: Eukaryota; Metazoa; Chordata; Aves; Galliformes; Numididae. The record is from RNAcentral.